This 253-nucleotide ribosomal RNA is filed under the name uncultured bacterium. Its description in RNAcentral is "partial 16S ribosomal RNA". It matches the Rfam family "Bacterial small subunit ribosomal RNA", at positions 524 to 776 of the family's 1533-position model. The record is from RNAcentral.
UACGGAGGGGGCUAGCGUUGUUCGGAAUUACUGGGCGUAAAGCGCACGUAGGCGGUGGUGCAUGUCAGAUGUGAAAGCCCUGGGCUUAACCUAGGAAUUGCAUUUGAAACUGCGCCGCUAGAGACCGGAAGAGGGUAGUGGAAUUCCCAGUGUAGAGGUGAAAUUCGUAGAUAUUGGGAAGAACACCAGUGGCGAAGGCGGCUACCUGGUCCGGUACUGACGCUGAGGUGCGAAAGCGUGGGGAGCAAACGGG